AGGAGGUGGCCCUCAGCCCGCGCGGAGGCCGCAGGGCUGACACUCGAGAGGCGGGGCUGUGUCGUGUGGGGUGACGGAAGAAACACGGGACUGGCAGGCGGAAUACCUCCCGCUCAAGGUUUCCGUUCUCAACUGUAAAGUGAGCAGUUUGGCCCCAGCUGAGGACAUUUAAGAACUCUCGGGUUCUUGAAGUCAAUAAUUUUCCUCAUCGUGCAGGAGUCCACCAUCCGGAACCAGAAGAGCCCUGGAUGCUAGACCAGGCGGCGUCUAGACAGUGAUCCACGUCAGAAUGCUCCCUGGAGGAACCGGAGUCUUCCAACGUAAUGUCAACGGGAUACUCAUACCCAGCGGUCUCUUUUCAAAGGACGGGGCCCGAGCAAAAGGAGGCUUGAGACAAGUUGCCUUCUCAACCCAGCCAUAGUCUAUGAAUUUGUUGUUUAACCCAAACUCAAUUGAGGGUUGCAGGAAAGAGGAGAGGAAACAUCUCACACCCAAGUGGCCCACACCGUAAACAAAGGGGAGUCUCGCUGUGCCAGCUCUUGGCUUCAGCGAGGCCCAGCAGGAAGCCGAUGUCCCCGUGCCAGGGUGAGGGCAGUCACCGAAGCAGAUGCUGGGCCACUGAGAACGAUUGAUUUCAGAAGCUCAAAUUCCUCAGGGUGGCCGCCCUCCUCCUCCUCCUCUUGGUGGGAGGGCAGAGGUGGCUGGGAGCUGUGUUGUCCACUGCCGGCUGCCAGCGCUGCUCGAGCUGGGAGAGCUGUCACCAGUCUCAGGCUCCAGGCAGGAGGUUUGUUGGGAAUGAGCAUUGUCUACUUAUGAAGAUUUAUGGAGAAGCUGACAACCACUACACUUUGAAGCAGAACUCAGAUGCCUGUCAACGAGCUCAGAUGACAAAUUUGCCUGUGAUAAUGUGCUGAAGCAAUGUGCAUUUUAGCUGAAGCCUCCUGGAAUCCACUGUUGUUGUGCUACCGGAGGCCUGCGGUGACUCGGAGGGCGGGAUUUCAGGUGGCUUCUAGAAGGAAGGAUUCAUUUGUUCAAGAAACUUUACAUGCCAGACCCUGGAGGGAGUGGGGGCUGACAGGCGACACACAGUGGCUGCCCCACCCCACACGAACUCUGUGAGGGCCGACGGAUGCCCAGGAAGUCGCCGGGAGGGACCAGGGAAACUUGCAAAGACAGACGCCUCUCUGACAAGAACCGAGGCCGGUCAUGUGUUGGUGUAAAACAAAAUGACUAGAAUCUCUGCCAACUCGGUUGAUCACUCAUUAGGACUCAGGGACGCCCACGUGCGGGGUGGAGCCGUCGGGGAAUGGGACAGGGGGGCCUGAAGCUUGCGUCUGCUCCGUGUUCUGCUGUCAAAGACGCCCACAGAGCCAUUACCUAACGGCCCUAAGAUUAUAACAAGUCACAGAGACGGCGUCCCGACCACAGUGAAGCCCUCUGGGUGGAAGAGGAGGCUCCGGAGUUAGCCACAGCUGGCUUGGAUUUCGCCUUCACCCUCCAUGACCCGGACAACCACAGAUAUGUCCAUCUUGUCCAGACUCGGUUUCCUCAUCAGUAGAAUAGGGUCUCAGGAGAAUGUAACUCCCCCAUGACGCUCCUGUGAAGUGGCAUGAGACAGUGCCUGCACGUGCCAGCGAUCAACAGCGUCAGCUGUGCAGACACACUGACCCACGGUGGGGCAGGGCCGGGCGUGUGUGCAGGUGGCAGCUCAGCCUCUGGGCACACGGGGGGCAGCCCAUGCCUUCUGUCUCCGAAUUUGGACUGAUAUUUUAACUUCUGAAUUAGACUUAGCUUUGCAAUAAGGUCUCCGUUCUGGUUGUCUCUGGCCUUGUUUGUCUCCGGGCCCCGCCUCACCACGCUGCUGAUCCCAGGGCAAGAGGGGUUUGCAGCACCGUGUCAGGUCAUGGCUAUAACCAGGGAGACAGACGUGUAACACGCUUCGUCUCUGGCUCCCCAGACUACCAGGUACAGUACACGCCCCAGAACCCAUUUGCCUUAUUUCGCCACUUUCAGCAAUUUUGUCCACUAUCUGCAAAACAGAUUUUGCUGCAUUCCAAGCAAGGGACGUAUACACCCCAUGGGCCUGAAGUUAACAGACUGCUGAGAAAUCUCUCCAUUUUCUUACUAAGAGAAACUUGUCCUUGACUAGAGCCCAGGAAAAAGCUCUCCAAAUUACAGCUCUGAUUUUGAAUGAGCCUCAGAUGUGUCUACAUCUCUUGGACAAGGAGACUUACAGGGAGGUAAGAGAAGCCUG
Microcebus murinus (gray mouse lemur) is the source of this 2254-nucleotide non-coding RNA. The record is from RefSeq and is a predicted model, not a curated record. Lineage: Eukaryota; Metazoa; Chordata; Mammalia; Primates; Cheirogaleidae.